GAUUAGAUACCCUGGUAGUCCACGCCGUAAACGAUGUCGACUUGGAGGUUGUGCCCUGAGGCGUGGCUUCCGGAGCUAACGCGUUAAGUCGACCGCCUGGGGAGUACGGCCGCAAGGUUAAAACUCAAAUGAAUUGACGGGGGCCCGCACAAGCGGUGGAGCAUGUGGUUUAAUUCGAUGCAACGCGAAGAACCUUACCUUACUCUUGACAUCCAGAGAACUUAGCAGAGAUGCUUUGGUGCCUUCGGGAACUCUGAGACAGGUGCUGCAUGGCUGUCGUCAGCUCGUGUUGUGAAAUGUUGGGUUAAGUCCCGCAACGAGCGCAACCCUUAUCCUUUGUUGCCAGCGGUCCGGCCGGGAACUCAAAGGAGACUGCCAGUGAUAAACUGGAGGAAGGUGGGGAUGACGUCAAGUCAUCAUGGCCCUUACGAGUAGGGCUACACACGUGCUACAAUGGCAUAUACAAAGAGAAGCGACCUCGCGAGAGCAAGCGGACCUCAUAAAGUAUGUCGUAGUCCGGAUUGGAGUCUGCAACUCGACUCCAUGAAGUCGGAAUCGCUAGUAAUCGUAGAUCAGAAUGCUACGGUGAAUACGUUCCCGGGCCUUGUACACACCGCCCGUCACACCAUGGGAGUGGGUUGCAAAAGAAGUAGGUAGCUUAACCUUCGGGAGGGCGCUUACCACUUUGUGAUUCAUGACUGGGGUG
RNAcentral lists this ribosomal RNA (706 nucleotides) under Klebsiella aerogenes. RNAcentral's name for it is "bacterial SSU rRNA". It matches the Rfam family "Bacterial small subunit ribosomal RNA", at positions 776 to 1482 of the family's 1533-position model. Lineage: Bacteria; Pseudomonadati; Pseudomonadota; Gammaproteobacteria; Enterobacterales; Enterobacteriaceae. The record is from RNAcentral.